RNAcentral lists this ribosomal RNA (492 nucleotides) under uncultured Sphingobacteriales bacterium. Its description in RNAcentral is "bacterial SSU rRNA". It matches the Rfam family "Bacterial small subunit ribosomal RNA", at positions 904 to 1382 of the family's 1533-position model. The record is from RNAcentral. Lineage: Bacteria; Pseudomonadati; Bacteroidota; Sphingobacteriia; Sphingobacteriales.
CCCGCUCAGAAACUACAAGGAAUGACGGGGCCCGCACAAGCGGUGGAGCAUGUGGUUUAAUUCGAUGAUACGACGACGGAACCUUACCUGGGCUCAAAUGUAUGUUGACGUAUUCUGAAAGGGAUACUUCUUCGGACAAUAUACAAGGUGCUGCAUGGUUGUCGUCAGCUCGUGCCGUGAGGUGUCGGGUUAAGUCCCAUAACGAGCGCAACCCCUAUCAUUAGUUGCCAUCAGGUCAAGCUGGGGACUCUAAUGAAACUGCCUACGCAAGUAGUGAGGAAGGUGGGGAUGACGUCAAAUCAGCACGGCCCUUACGUCCAGGGCUACACACGUGCUACAAUGGCCGGUACAAAGGGCAGCUACCUGGUGACAGGAUGCUAAUCUCAAAAGCCGGUCUCAGUUCGGAUCGGAGUCUGCAACCCGACUCCGUGAAGCUGGAAUCGCGAGUAAUCGCGCAUCAGCCAUGGCGCGGUGAAUACGUUCCCGGGCCUU